RNAcentral lists this ribosomal RNA (253 nucleotides) under uncultured bacterium. RNAcentral's name for it is "partial 16S ribosomal RNA". It matches the Rfam family "Bacterial small subunit ribosomal RNA", at positions 524 to 776 of the family's 1533-position model. The record is from RNAcentral.
UACGUAGGGUGCAAGCGUUGUCCGGAAUUAUUGGGCGUAAAGAGCUCGUAGGCGGUCUGUCGCGUCGGCUGUGAAAACUCGGGGCUCAACUCCGAGCUUGCAGUCGAUACGGGCAGGCUAGAGUUCGGCAGGGGAGACUGGAAUUCCUGGUGUAGCGGUGAAAUGCGCAGAUAUCAGGAGGAACACCGGUGGCGAGGGCGGGUCUCUGGGCCGAUACUGACGCUGAGGAGCGAAAGCGUGGGGAGCGAACAGG